UACGUAGGGUGCAAGCGUUGUCCGGAAUUAUUGGGCGUAAAGAGCUCGUAGGCGGUCUGUCGCGUCGGCUGUGAAAACUCGGGGCUCAACCCCGGGCCUGCAUUCGAUACGGGCAGACUAGAGUUCGGUAGGGGAGUCUGGAAUUCCUGGUGUAGCGGUGAAAUGCGCAGAUAUCAGGAGGAACACCGGUGGCGAAGGCGGGACUCUGGGCCGAUACUGACGCUGAGGAGCGAAAGCGUGGGGAGCGAACAGG
Molecule: ribosomal RNA, 253 nt
Filed under: uncultured bacterium
Lineage: Bacteria
Description: partial 16S ribosomal RNA
Rfam family: Bacterial small subunit ribosomal RNA
Source: RNAcentral